RNAcentral lists this non-coding RNA (128 nucleotides) under Desulfotomaculum nigrificans. RNAcentral describes it as "FMN sequence". It matches the Rfam family "FMN riboswitch aptamer (RFN element)". Rfam says of the family: The RFN element is a highly conserved domain that is found frequently in the 5'-untranslated regions of prokaryotic mRNAs that encode for flavin mononucleotide (FMN) biosynthesis and transport proteins. This element is a metabolite-dependent riboswitch that directly binds FMN in the absence of proteins. Lineage: Bacteria; Bacillati; Bacillota; Clostridia; Eubacteriales; Desulfotomaculaceae. RNAcentral also lists the same sequence under 1 other name. The record is from RNAcentral.
GUUAACCUUCAGGGUUAGGUGAAAUUCCUUACCGGCGGUAUGGCGUAGGCCGAGCCCGCGAGCCCGCAGGGGCAGAUCUGGUGAAAAGCCAGGGCCGACAGUUAAAGUCUGGAUGGGAGAAGGUGGUU